UAUUUGAAAAACAAUGCUACAGUCAAUUAUUCUCCUUUGAAAAUGUGCAUUCUGGUCCGGAAUGUCGGCUUCUGUUUUGGUUUGUUAAACCCGCCCACUGCCACUGAAAAGGGGUCUGAGCGGGAAUCUGGCAAUUUGCAUGUGCGUCAAGUCUGAGUAAGAGGGGCCGGUGAAGAAAAACGUUUCCAAUAUGUAGAAUUUGGACGGCAAUGCCAAGUUCAAGCACUCGGUGUGAAUCCUACAAAUAGCACCUAAAAGGUCAGGAGCUGUCAGAUUUGAAAAGUUGAGCGGGGGAAAGCUGUCUAGUAUGCUCUUUUCAAGAGUUUACGCACAAACGCAUGCAUACGAUUAGACCGUGAAAGAGAACCAGUGUGAUGUCUGCAGGUCACAGUGAUAGAUGCAGUACCUCGAGUUCCCAGCAAAGUACCGCCACAUGAAUAAAUGAUACAGAUUACUUCUACCUAUCUUC
This is a long non-coding RNA of Puntigrus tetrazona (Sumatra barb), 469 nucleotides long. RefSeq lists it as uncharacterized. The record is from RefSeq and is a predicted model, not a curated record. The transcript has 3 exons. NCBI's taxonomy places the organism in Eukaryota, Metazoa, Chordata, Actinopteri, Cypriniformes, Cyprinidae.